UAGAUUUUAAGUUAUGUAAACUAAUAGCCUUCCAAGCUAUACAAAAGGAUUCUUAGGUCUAA
Molecule: transfer RNA, 62 nt
Filed under: Eurythenes magellanicus
Lineage: Eukaryota; Metazoa; Arthropoda; Malacostraca; Amphipoda; Lysianassidae
Description: tRNA-Gly
Source: RNAcentral